CCUACGGGUGGCAGCAGUGAGGAAUAUUGGUCAAUGGGCGAGAGCCUGAACCAGCCAAGUCGCGUGAGCGAUGACGGCCCUAUGGAUUGUAAACUUCUUUAGCCGGGGCGCAAUUGAGUGCACGUGUGCCCGGAGCGAGAGUACCCGAAGUACAAGCAUCGGCUAACUCCGUGCCAGCAGCCGCGGUAAUACGGGGGAUGCGAGCGUUAUCCGGAUUUCUUGGGUUUAAAGGGUGCGUAGGCGGAAUUUUAAGUCAGCGGGAAAACGUCGGGGCUCAACCCGGUCCGGCCGUUGAAACUGGGGUUCUUGAGUGGGCGAGAAGUAGGCGGAAUGCGUGGUGUAGCGGUGAAAUGCAUAGAUAUCACGCAGAACUCCGAUUGCGAAGGCAGCAUACCGGCGCCCGACUGACGCUGAGGCACGAAAGCGUGGGGAUCGAACAGGAUUAGAUACCCCAGUAGUC
RNAcentral lists this ribosomal RNA (460 nucleotides) under uncultured bacterium. Its description in RNAcentral is "partial 16S ribosomal RNA". It matches the Rfam family "Bacterial small subunit ribosomal RNA", at positions 338 to 795 of the family's 1533-position model. The record is from RNAcentral.